RNAcentral lists this ribosomal RNA (442 nucleotides) under uncultured bacterium. RNAcentral describes it as "partial 16S ribosomal RNA". It matches the Rfam family "Bacterial small subunit ribosomal RNA", at positions 338 to 795 of the family's 1533-position model. The record is from RNAcentral.
CCUACGGGAGGCAGCAGUAGGGAAUCUUUCACAAUGGGCGAAAGCCUGAUGGAGCCACGCCGCGUGCAGGAUGAAGGCCUUCGGGUUGUAAACUGCUUUUAUAAGCGAGAAAUAUGAUGGUAACUAAUGACUAAGGAUCGGACAACAACGGGCGAGCAGCCACGGUCAUACGUAGGAUCCGCGCAUUAUCCGGAGAAACUGGGUGUAAAGAGUUGCGUAGGUGGCAUAGUAAGUAGCUAGUGAAAUCUGGUGGCUCAACCAUUCAGACUAUUACCUAAACUGCUAAGCUCGAGACCGUUAGGGGUAACUGGAAUUCCAAGUGUAGGAGUGAAAUGCGUAGAUAUUAGAAGGAACACCGAUAGCGUAGGCAGGUUACUGGGACAGUUCUGACACUAAGGCACGAAAGCGUAGGGAGCAAACGGGAUUAGAUACCCGGGUAGUC